UGAUUUCAUCAUUACUAUUAAGAAGGUAUGGGUCUUAUACUGAUCUGGCAUUGCAAGGUCUCAGGAUCAGUAUUGGCUUCCCUUGCCUCCAGCUGAGUUAGCUUGUUUGCAAUUGGCAAGUGGCUGGGUGACUAGUGCCUCACCUCUUUCAGCAGCAGGUCUCCACCUCCAAGAAAAAUUUUAGGAUGCUGAUACCUUUGCUACAACCUUCCACUAUUUCUCUGUGUGAGGAAAACUGGUGUUAUCAACCUCAGGACCCAGAGACACAAUGGAGAGUGUACUAUUGUAAAAGGAUAAAGCAACUCUGGAGUCAAAUGAAACCACUGUGGAAAUAAAAAGGGUCAGACUACAAUCCUAAAGCUUAUAUGAGGUUCUACUUCAUGAAGAAAGAAUUGCAUUUAAUGUUGAGUUUACUGAAACCUACCUUGUUUGGGACACUUCGGAGCAUCAAAACAAACUUUGCUAUGAAGAAAAAUAAAUAUGCCGUAUAUUCAUUAUGAUGUAGUAGA
This 509-nucleotide long non-coding RNA is filed under the name Anas platyrhynchos platyrhynchos (common mallard). RNAcentral describes it as "lncRNA (ENSAPLG00000020131.1)". Lineage: Eukaryota; Metazoa; Chordata; Aves; Anseriformes; Anatidae. The record is from RNAcentral.